GGGGUUGUGGCUCAGUGGUAGAGUCCUUGCCUAGCAAGUGAGAGACACUGGGUUCGAUUUUCAGCACCUUA
RNAcentral lists this transfer RNA (71 nucleotides) under Marmota monax (woodchuck). Lineage: Eukaryota; Metazoa; Chordata; Mammalia; Rodentia; Sciuridae. The record is from Rfam by way of RNAcentral.